Molecule: ribosomal RNA, 171 nt
Filed under: uncultured Sphingopyxis sp.
Lineage: Bacteria; Pseudomonadati; Pseudomonadota; Alphaproteobacteria; Sphingomonadales; Sphingopyxidaceae
Description: partial 16S ribosomal RNA
Rfam family: Bacterial small subunit ribosomal RNA
Source: RNAcentral
CUCCUACGGGAGGCAGCAGUGGGGAAUAUUGGACAAUGGGCGAAAGCCUGAUCCAGCAAUGCCGCGUGAGUGAUGAAGGCCUUAGGGUUGUAAAGCUCUUUUACCAGGGAUGAUAAUGACAGUACCUGGAGAAUAAGCUCCGGCUAACUCCGUGCCAGCAGCCGCGGUAAU